GAUGAACGCUGGCGGCGUGCUUAACACAUGCAAGUCGAACGAAGCACCUUAUUCUGAUUUCUUCGGAAUGAAAAAUUUGGUGACUGAGUGGCGGACGGGUGAGUAACGCGUGGGUAACCUGCCUCAUACAGGGGGAUAACAGUUAGAAAUGACUGCUAAUACCGCAUAAGACCACAGCACCGCAUGGUGCAGGGGUAAAAACUCCGGUGGUAUGAGAUGGACCCGCGUCUGAUUAGGUGGUUGGUGGGGUAACGGCCUACCAAGCCGACGAUCAGUAGCCGACCUGAGAGGGUGACCGGCCACAUUGGGACUGAGACACGGCCCAAACUCCUACGGGAGGCAGCAGUGGGGAAUAUCGCACAAUGGGGGAAACCCUGAUGCAGCGACGCCGCGUGAGCGAUGUAGUAUUUCGGUAUGUAAAGCUCUAUCAGCAGGGAAGAAAAUGACGGUACCUGACUAAGAAGCACCGGCUAAAUACGUGCCAGCAGCCGCGGUAA
Molecule: ribosomal RNA, 497 nt
Filed under: uncultured bacterium
Lineage: Bacteria
Description: partial 16S ribosomal RNA
Rfam family: Bacterial small subunit ribosomal RNA
Source: RNAcentral